AACGCACAUUGCGCCCAUUAGUACUCUAGUGGGCAUGCCUGUUCGAGCGUCAUUACAACCCUCAAGCGCUGUAGUGCUUGGCGUUGGGGCUUCUGCUGCCUGUAGCAGGCCCUGAAAAACAGUGGCGAGCUUGCCGUGACCCUGAGCGUAGUAGUUUACACCUCGCUUCUGUGGCCCGCGGUGGGAUCUCAGCCGUGAAACCCCCAAUUUUCACAAGGUUGACCUCGGAUCAGGUAGGAAUACCCGCUGAACUUAA
Molecule: unclassified non-coding RNA, 256 nt
Filed under: uncultured fungus
Lineage: Eukaryota; Fungi
Description: sequence contains ITS2
Source: RNAcentral